AGAAAAAAAAAGACAAACCUUGCAUGUUACCCUUUUGCUGCCAUAACUUUUGAGGUUAAACCCCACCCUGCAGCUGGAUUUGCUAAACUGACAGAAGUUAUAAAAAACCUUUAGCAAUAAUGUAAGAAGCAGAGCAGAGUGUUGGGCGCAUUUCCAGGGCAGUGGAGGUCAUUCGUUCUGCUGGAAACUUCCGGAAAGUCAAACAAGGUCACGUCAAGGUCAUCAUAGAGGGCAGAAGAGGCCGAACCUGGCAGAUGGGGCCAGCAGGUGUUUGGAGCCGCUGCUUCUGGACUCUGAGGUCACAGGUUUGAAUCUCCCCCUGCAGUUCCCUUGAUACUAUAUUGACACGGAAAAAGUGACCCACCUCUAUAAAUGGGUAGAUCAUUCUAAGUCACCUAACGCCGUAAGCUGGUUUGGAGAAAAAUGUCAGAUAAACAAAUAUAGAUGGAGAGCAGAAGUAGAAGGAUAGAGGAGAACGAGAUGCGACCAGUAAACCCUCUGCUUGUAGUGUGAGGGGGAACAUGCGGGUCCGAGGGAUGGUGGCCAGGAGAUGCUCGUGUGUGGCUCUCAGCGGAGAUAUUCGGCGUUCCUGGACGUCGUCCCACACAGACGCAGUCCUAUUGGGGAGCGAGAGGGAGGAAAAGGGACGACGGGGCACCGUCCCCCACCUUUCCAGAGAUAAGCCCUGAUGGUAUAAAUCUGACCUGUGCCCCACGGGGUCCACCAUGUGAAGAGAGAAGCGGGAAGAAUGAGGAGUGAAGAAGGAAGGAGAGCCCUUGUGGAGGGAGCGGAUCGGCCGCGGCGAGGGAGCGUUCGACGGAGGAGGACAACGAGAAGGAAACAAUGCGGCGUCAACAAGAUGGAGUUCAGGGCGAAGAUUUCACCGGCUGACGGGCGACUCUUUGGCUGCCAGGGCCUUAUUGUCCCACUGCCAUACAGGGAAGGCGCCUCCUGCACCAGUGCGCUCCAUAGGAAGGGCUCUGCACACGAGGGGUCUGUUGGAUUUCGGGCAGAUUUCUCACCAUUGUGUUGCGUUCCUUCUUUCUGC
Molecule: long non-coding RNA, 1048 nt
Filed under: Scleropages formosus (Asian bonytongue)
Lineage: Eukaryota; Metazoa; Chordata; Actinopteri; Osteoglossiformes; Osteoglossidae
Description: lncRNA (ENSSFOG00015026331.1)
Source: RNAcentral